AGUGAACGCUGGCGGUAGGCCUAACACAUGCAAGUCGAACGGCAGCACAGUAAGAGCUUGCUCUUACGGGUGGCGAGUGGCGGACGGGUGAGGAAUACAUCGGAAUCUACUUUUUCGUGGGGGAUAACGAAGGGAAACUUACGCUAAUACCGCAUACGACCUACGGGUGAAAGCAGGGGAUCUUCGGACCUUGCGCGAUUGAAUGAGCCGAUGUCGGAUUAGCUAGUUGGCGGGGUAAAGGCCCACCAAGGCGACGAUCCGUAGCUGGUCUGAGAGGAUGAUCAGCCACACUGGAGCUGAGACACGGUCCAGACUCCUACGGGAGGCAGCAGUGGGGAAUAUUGGACAAUGGGCGCAAGCCUGAUCCAGCCAUACCGCGUGGGUGAAGAAGGCCUUCGGGUUGUAAAGCCCUUUUGUUGGGAAAGAAAAGCAGCAGGUUAAUACCCCGCUGUUCUGACGGUACCCAAAGAAUAAGCACCGGCUAACUUCGU
This 491-nucleotide ribosomal RNA is filed under the name uncultured bacterium. Its description in RNAcentral is "partial 16S ribosomal RNA". It matches the Rfam family "Bacterial small subunit ribosomal RNA", at positions 29 to 506 of the family's 1533-position model. The record is from RNAcentral.